UUUCCAAAGGUAGCGUCAAAUCUAUCUGUGGUAGCGGUGUUCACUGUACAGACAAGGCGGAAGAUGUAGCCGGAGGCAUUUGUUUGUUGUAUAAUGCAUAACAUGAAGCAGGAUUGGAGAGACAGUUCCAACUGGAGAAAGGCUUUCUAAUAUGUGGGUAUAAAAAGGACCCCACAUACUUUGAGUGGAGUUUCUGGAGUCACUUGGCUAGGAAGGCUCUGCAAUGGACUCUGUUGGGCCAUGCCGUGGUCUCCAGACUAGCCAGCUUCUUCGUUCCUAAGUUCAGAGUGACAUCUCUGUCGGCCUGCAGUGCGUUGCGGAUUAAAGGAGUGGGCGUGGUCCUGGCCCAUCUGGGCCUGUCAUUGGCUGUUGCCCAGCUGCGUAAACCUGCCCUGUCCUGGAGCUGUGCCCUGCUGCUGCUCUCCACCCUCCACUUCUCUCUCUGUCUCUGUCUCUCUCUCUGUCUCUCUCUCUCUCAAUUUAAGGGCUUU
Long non-coding RNA from Coregonus clupeaformis (lake whitefish), 491 nucleotides. RefSeq lists it as uncharacterized. The record is from RefSeq and is a predicted model, not a curated record. The transcript has 4 exons. Lineage: Eukaryota; Metazoa; Chordata; Actinopteri; Salmoniformes; Salmonidae.